RNAcentral lists this long non-coding RNA (2764 nucleotides) under Anneissia japonica. RNAcentral describes it as "uncharacterized LOC117108222". The record is from RNAcentral. Lineage: Eukaryota; Metazoa; Echinodermata; Crinoidea; Comatulida; Comatulidae.
UUACUUUCAUAUGCGAUGAAAUGAUUUUGGUGGAAACAUUUUGGUCAUAUCUAAGGGCAAAUUGAAUCCACAUACUUCACGCUAUCCCAAAUUGUAAUGAUCAUGUCCUAAUCAAACAAAGCAUUCUGUUUCAGCGAAUGAUGAGGCUACACAGUUGUCAAAUACUUUCGUAACACUGAUAAACACAUCUUUCUGUUCAUAGCUUCGCAAUUUAGCACGUACGAUCGUUAGUGGCAUGGUGGCGUAUUAUUUCAUUAUAUGAGUUGACCUGAAAUGUCUUUAUUGUUUUAUUAUAAACCCAAUGAGAAGGUUCUCCUUAAAACACUCCUAGCUCCACACAUUAGUUUAUUUUUCAGAUGGAAUAUCUAUUUAUUCAUGGCGGGCAGAUUACUUGUAGAGAUAUCUCAAUAGAAUCUUAUGCAAGGUCUGCAAGAGGCUACUUGAAGUUCGCUUUUAAUGUAUACAAAAUGCCUGGCUGCUCCGAGGAAGUACAGCUGAUAUCUACAUUCCACACAUCUGCAUUUUAGACUAAAAAUCGCUACAUGAUCUGGUACUUCUACGUACUGCGAGCCAUUGAUCCAAAUAUUCUGCAAAACAAACCUCAAAAUCCACAAAGUUUAAGCGACUACAACAAUUUCUGAGUUAGCCAAAUAAUUUAUUGAAAAACUAUUUAUAUAUGCUUACAAAAAUGAUAAUUUUUCUUAGAAGAAGCAACAACAAUCUGAGAUAUAAUACAAUAAAUUUAAAGCAAUGUCCAAUAGUUAUCAAUGUUGCCAUGCAAAACAGCAGAUAAGACAUUGAGUAGCUGACCUUAGAUUUAGAAAAAAAUACUUAAUCAUCAGUAUUGACAUUGAUCACAGUGGUUGAAUAACUGACUAAUAAUUUGGUAGAGAAUCAAGAAUCACUGUUAACAGAUGUAUAUUUCAAUGAUUUAGCAUGUCUCAAAUUUAAUAUCAAAUUGACCUCCUUGGAAGCUGUUUAUGUACUGCAAUUUGUAUACGCUAGCCUCAGUAUCAAGCACAGAGUGAAAGUUAGCGGUAAGGUUAACACCAUUGGUCUGUUCUGAAAGGACUCCUGUUGAUCUGCGCUUGCAAAUAAAAAUGUUUUAUUUCUUUAAUUUUAUGUAAAUUUUGUGAGGAAGCUUAAGUACAGCUGAUAUCUACAUUCCACAUACAGUAUCUGCAUUGUAAAAGACAAAAUCGCUACAUGAUCUGGUACUUCCACCUAAUGCGAGUCAUUUAUUCUAAACUUCAGCAAAUCAAACUAUGUAAUACAAACAGCUCAAGCGAGUAGAGAAAAUUUCUGAUCUACCCAAAUAAUUUUAUAAAAGUUAUUGCUAGAUUUACAAAAAUUCCAUUUACUUUUUUGAUAGAAUCUGCUGCAACAGCUCUUGGAAGUAUAAUACAAUAAACAUAAAGCCCAAUAGCUUAUCAAUGUUGCCCAACAAAGCAGUGAAUAUAAUACUGGGUAGAGUAGCUGGCCUAAAUAGAGAAUAUCAACAUUAUCAGUAUUGACAUCAUCACAUUGGUUGAAUAGCUGACUAAUAAUUUCGUAGAGAAACGCCUCAGCGAGAAUCACUGUUAGCAGAUGUAUAUUUCAUUGAUUCAGCAUGUCUCAAAUUUAAUAUCAAAUUGACCUCUUUGGAAGCUGUUAUGUACUGCAAUUUAUAAACGCUGUAAUAUCUUGAGUCGCUAGGCUAGACUUGACACACAUAUCAAGCACAGAGCGAAAGUUAGCGAUAAGGUUAACGCCAUUGGUGUGUUCUCAAUGGACGCCUCCUGCGCUUGCAAAUGAUCACCACCACUGCCACCAAGAGGUAGAGAUUAUGGCCGUGAAUACCCACGAGAUUACCCGAGAGACUAUGGGCGUGACUAUGCCCCACCUCCAUCAUCUUCUUCCCGGUAUGAUAGAGCUCCACCAUCAUACGAUAGAGGCUACGAUAGAGGAUAUGACCGUGUUCCCUAUGAAAGACCUCCUUAUGAAAGACCAGCAGUUCGGCGAUAAAAUUUCAGACAACCGUUUUCCGCAGAGUUAUUCCGUUGUUUUAAUAUUUUAGACUUUGUAUAAUGUUUCCUAUAUUUGUUAUGAAAAAUAUCACCCAUAAUGGUAAUUGUAAAGAAAUUUGAUCUAAAUCUUGUGGCUUUAUUUUACUUAGGCAUAAAUUAUUUGGUAAUCUCUGUGUACUUAUGUAUAAGGUAAAUAUCAAGCUACAGUGCAUUGUAUAUUAUCAAGUGACAAGUUUACUUGAAAAAAAAAACAAAAACAGGAAUAAUGAACUAUACUUCACUGUCAUAUUGCAUGCAGCAAGUCCUCAUGCAGUUAGUUUAUUUUGCAUAAUUUUUAUUUUAUUUAUUAUUCUGCACUUGUUUUUUUAACUACAUUUCAGCUAGCCAUUGAUCUGUAUGUUCAUGUUAUAUUAAGCAAUCUCACAAAAUAAUGUAUCCUAUAAUGUAAGGUAGUAAUAUUGUUCAUGUUGCAUCAUUAAGCAAUCUCACAAAGUAAUGUAUCCUAUAAUGCGAGGUAGUAAUGUUGUUCAUUUUACAUUAAGCAAUCUCACAAAGUAAUGUAUCCUAUAAUGUGAGGUAGUAGUUUAAUGUUUUUUUCCUAGGUUAUUCUUUGUCUGUCUUUAUUCUUUGGCUGGUGUCAUUUUGUUAAUGUUUUGUAAAGUGAAACCAAGCAAACUGAUUACAUUGUACUGUACGUCAAAUUCGAUCUUGGGCAUGUAAUAAAAGUAACUUUUUGUGAAUUUGUUAAAAAAAUGAAA